This is a long non-coding RNA of Mytilus californianus (California mussel), 1424 nucleotides long. RefSeq lists it as uncharacterized. The transcript has 2 exons. NCBI's taxonomy places the organism in Eukaryota, Metazoa, Mollusca, Bivalvia, Mytilida, Mytilidae. The record is from RefSeq and is a predicted model, not a curated record.
GCCUGUCCCUGCUGUGUCCAGUGCAUCACUGAUAAACACCAAAAAUGUCAAGACAUGAAACCCUUGUCUGAUAUCCUACAGCAAGUAAAAUUAUAUGCCUCAGUUCAACUUUUUGAAAAAGAUUUGAAGAAUGUAAAGGAAAACUUUGAUACAGCCAUAACGUACCUGAAAACCAGGAUCAGUACCAUCAAUACUCAGUAAAACAACAGCUGUUGAAGAAAUCAGAUAUAUGAGGAAGUCGAUCAAUGAUUACUUAAACAAAUUAGAGCAAGAAAUACUUAAUGAAUUAGAGUCUAAACAUUUAAAGCUUAAAUUAAACAUGGCCACUCUUGUGCAACAAAUGGAACAGCAAAUUAGUCAGAUAAAUCAAAUGCAGAGUCAGAGCUACAAAUGCAUAUUGGUCUGAGAGAAAUUGAGAAAACUACAUCACAAAUGGCAAAAUAUUUAGAAGAUUUAGAAAGUGGAGACAACUUCAUUGAAAAGAAUCUAGAGGUAAACAUUUCAUCUGCUCUUCAAUCAAUUUUACAAGAUGUCAAAUCAUUUGGAGAUAUUAAUAUCAAUACCACCUCAUCUACUCUACAAAUAAAGGCAGGGAGAAAAGAUCAAGCCCAGCACUUGGUUCCAAAUAUUCCUUGAAUUGAACAAAUAAAGCCAACCUUUUUGACAAGACUGACAAUUCCAGAAGAUAUGAAGUCUGUGAAUAUAACUGCCUGUCUUAUACUACCUGAUAGCAGAUUUAUAAUAACUAAUUUCAACAAAAAAGAACUACUGCUGUUCAGUAAUGAUGGCAUCUUCAUCAGAAAAGUAGUUACAUUCACAGGAUAUCCAUUGGAUGCCUGCUUUGUCAGAAAUAAUACGGCAGCUGUCACAUUAGGAUACGCAUACCAGACAGUACUGGUGGAUGUAGAAAAGGAAUAAAAUUCUUCAAACAAUUAAACUUUCUCAUUAUUGUAAUGGAGUAGCAAGUGAUGGUAAAACUUGGUUCAUCAGUGGUGGUAACAGCCAGAGUACUAGAGUGAAUCUGAAUGACAUGUCUAAAACAAUCUUAGAAGGAAUGGGAGGAGUGGGACCUAUUGCAAUUUUCCAAGGAAAUAUCUAUGGCACAUAUUCCUCUGAAAACAAAGUCUGCUGCUAUAAUAGUACUGGAGAACCUCUCUGGACAUAUCAGAACCAAGACAUUACCGAACCAAAAGGACUUACUUUAGACAAGAAUGGCUUUGUUUAUAUAGUUUCUGUAGGAAACAACAGUAUCCUGGUAGUAUCACCACAUGGUAAGACCUGUAAGACAAUACUAUCAGAGGCUGAUGAAAUAAAAGAUCCGUGGGCAAUAGACAUUAAAAGAGAAACAGGAAUGAUGAUAGUGUCAAAUAAAAUAAGUGAUGAUAACAAUGAUACAGCUUUUGUAUAUAAAAUUUAAAAUAUUA